This 489-nucleotide ribosomal RNA is filed under the name uncultured soil bacterium. RNAcentral's name for it is "bacterial SSU rRNA". It matches the Rfam family "Bacterial small subunit ribosomal RNA", at positions 8 to 524 of the family's 1533-position model. The record is from RNAcentral.
AGAGUUUGAUCCUGGCUCAGCCUGAACGCUGGCGGCGUGGCUAAGACAUGCAAGUCGCACGGGCGUAGCAAUACGUCAGUGGCGAACGGGUGAGUAAUGAAUCGCUAACGUACCCCGGACUCCGGGAUAGCUGCCCGAAAGGGCAGGUAAUACCGGUUGACAUACCCUGCAGGCAUCUGCGGGGUCUCAAAGGUCCGCCGAUCUGGGCGCGGGCGAUUUCGUAUCAGCUAGUUGGUGAGGUAACGGCUCACCAAGGCGACGACGCGUAGCCGGACUGAGAGGUUGGCCGGCCACAUCGGGACUGAGACACUGCCCGGACUCCUACGGGGGGCUGCAGUAACGAAUCUUCCCCAAUGCACGCAAGUGUGAGGGAGCGACGCCGCGUGUGGGACGAAGUCCUUCGGGAUGUAAACCACUGUCAGGGGAUACCAAGUUCUGAGGAUCCCCAGAGGAAGAGGCGGCUAACUCUGUGCCAGCAGCCGCGGUAAU